UAGCGAGCUCGGUUUUACCGGCUAAUCAGCGGGGUGCAGUUCUGGUCGUACACGGUUCUCUGAACUGCGUAGCCCUAGCGAGCUCGGUUUUACCGGCUAAGUCUUGGGAGUUCCAGUGUGUUUCUCUUCUUAUGCCUUGACUGGCGUUGCUCUCGCGUUAAGCAGGGCUGUCGUCUUGUGCUUGAGUGGCUGUCUUUGCGUGCUAAGCCCGUGUGUAUGCUGGGUGCCGCGUAGACUGUCUCUCGUCGUUGCUACCCAACUCCUAAAUUACUCACAACCUCACAUCAGGUAAGAUAACCCGCUGAACUUAAGCAUAUCAAUAAGCGGAGGAAAAGAAAGCAAAUGCGAUUCCCUUAGUAACGGCGAGUGAAAGGGGAGAAGCCCAUCGUGAAGGCCUGUUUCCGUGAGGACUCGGGCGAUGCCACGAUAGUUAAGCGGGUAAGCGGUUGUUGGACUAGGGCUGUAAAUCUGCUUAAGUGCAGUGCCAUAGAAGGUCGAAGCCCUGUUUCGGCCCUGGUCCUGUUGCUGCGCUACCGUUUAACAAGAGUCGGGUUACUUGAAAGUGUAACCUAAAGAUGCAGGUAGAUCCCUGCUAAGGCUAAAUACGUCCACCAGACCGAUAGCAAACAAGUACCGUGAGGGAAAGUUGCAAAGUACUUUGAAGAGAGAGUUAAAAGAACGUGAAACGGCUAACGGGUAAACGGUUGUAGUGGUCGGAAUAGUCGGCUGGCUUUCAUGAUUCCUGGGUUAAGGGUCUCUCUCUGAGAGAGCCUGUCCCGUGUAGGAGUCUGCAUUAGCCCGGUCGGUGCUGUCCUGCGGCGCUAGGGACGUGUGUGCUCGGCUCGCGAGGAGUUGUCGUGCGUUCAUUCCUUCGGGAGUGGAUGAUAAGCGCGGCUGCCUCGUGUGCUAGCGGUACUGUUCUUAGUGCGGUAACCCUUGACAGGGUACGUGAUGUGUGUCGAAGGCGCUGACCUGCGUUGGAGACGGGCUGUAGGUGUAAACCGAAUGCCUUUCUUCAGCGCAAUAGGUGCUUGAGACAGGCGUUACCGCAG
Molecule: ribosomal RNA, 1052 nt
Filed under: uncultured fungus
Lineage: Eukaryota; Fungi
Description: eukaryotic LSU rRNA
Rfam family: Eukaryotic large subunit ribosomal RNA (bases 275-1052)
Source: RNAcentral